This 24-nucleotide non-coding RNA is filed under the name Arabidopsis thaliana (thale cress). Lineage: Eukaryota; Viridiplantae; Streptophyta; Magnoliopsida; Brassicales; Brassicaceae. The record is from RNAcentral.
AAGAUUGAUAAGCCACCAUGUAAC